UACGUAGGCAGCGAGCGUUGUUCGGAGUUACUGGGCGUAAAGGGUGUGUAGGCGGUCCCUUAAGUUUGGUGUGAAAUCUCCCGGCUCAACUGGGAGGGUGCGCCGGAUACUGAGGGGCUAGAGUGCGGGAAGGGAAAGUGGAAUUCCUGGUGUAGAGGUGAAAUUCGUAGAUAUCGGGAGGAACACCGGUGGCGAAGGCGGCGAUCUGGGUAGAUACUGACGCUGAGGUGCGAAAGCGUGGGGAGCAAACAGG
Molecule: ribosomal RNA, 253 nt
Filed under: uncultured bacterium
Lineage: Bacteria
Description: partial 16S ribosomal RNA
Rfam family: Bacterial small subunit ribosomal RNA
Source: RNAcentral